GACGAAUUCCUAAGAACUCAUAGUACAAGGAAAAAAAAUUAUGACGAAGUCGUCAAAAAAGUAGAUGCUGGAAUAUGAGUAAAAAACUUGUGUUUGAUUGAUUGAUAGAUAUCUCAUUACAAUGCCCCAGGGUCUACAUUUAUACCCUAUGCAAAGAGCUACAACCAGACACAACUAGGACUCGAAUUCCAAAUUAAACAGAAUCCGUAUACAAAACAAAUUAAAUAACUAAGGAAAACAUAAAACUAUCCUCCCAUGACAAACUGGGACAUCACCACAGGCCAAUCGGCAACCUUCAGGUUAUUCUCUUGAAUCAUCGACAGACCCCUCAUCGUGGCCAUCGGCACAGGUUAAUACUGACC
RNAcentral lists this long non-coding RNA (362 nucleotides) under Sorghum bicolor (sorghum). RNAcentral describes it as "long non-coding RNA (SBIC_LNC004588)". The record is from RNAcentral. Lineage: Eukaryota; Viridiplantae; Streptophyta; Magnoliopsida; Poales; Poaceae.